UCCUUUUGUGACCUUAAUAAUUAUGAAAUUUUUAACUAAUCAAAUAUGUGGUCUGGAACCAAUAAUUAGUGGACUUCUGAAAAUGACAUCUCUACUUAUCACUACGAUAACCUUUUCAAGUCUUCCUCGUUAUUUCACUCUCCUCUUAAAUACUAGUAUUCUCUAGGUAGUUGAAAUUUUAUCAAACUUAUCUAAAAAUCAAAAUCCAUUUUUCUCACAUUUCUUCAUCUUCUCUAUUCUACCAUCUUCUUCAUCCUACCAUCUCCAACAUAUGACAUCCUCCUUCCUAAGCGUUGUCCACUCGUCGUACUUCUCCACCACCAUUUUGUAAUGCUUAUAGUUUCCUCCACCACCAUCAAAGUUGUCAACAACCAAAAAGUUGAUGCCUUUGUGAUCUUUGUGGGACAUGGUUGAAGCUAAGACAAUGGAAUUGUGAUAAAUAUCAAUACGAAGGCAAGAAUAUUGGGUGGUUUAAAAAUUAUAUUUAUUGCAUAAAAAGAUUAUAUUUAUAAAUUGAAGCUGCUAAGAUUUACCCGUACUUGCUAAAUUGUAAUAUUAUAAGCAAUAUGCAAUUGAGUUAUGAAAGUAUGGAGAAUAAAGAUGAGAGUAUAAAUCUA
Molecule: non-coding RNA, 617 nt
Organism: Cicer arietinum (chickpea)
Lineage: Eukaryota; Viridiplantae; Streptophyta; Magnoliopsida; Fabales; Fabaceae
Source: RefSeq, a predicted model, not a curated record